This 490-nucleotide ribosomal RNA is filed under the name uncultured bacterium. RNAcentral describes it as "bacterial SSU rRNA". It matches the Rfam family "Bacterial small subunit ribosomal RNA", at positions 30 to 515 of the family's 1533-position model. The record is from RNAcentral.
AUUGAACGCUGGCGGCAGGCCUAACACAUGCAAGUCGAGCGAGAAAGGUCUUCGGGCUGAGUACAGCGGCGGACGGGUGAGUAACGCGUAGGAAUCUACCUGGUAGUGGGGGACAACAUGGUGAAAACCAUGCUAAUACCGCAUACGCCCUAUGGGGGAAAGCGGGGGACCUUCGGGCCUCGCGCUAUCAGAUGAGCCUGCGUAGGAUUAGCUUGUUGGUGAGGUAAAGGCUCACCAAGGCGACGAUCCUUAGCUGGUCUGAGAGGAUGAUCAGCCACACUGGAACUGAGACACGGUCCAGACUCCUACGGGAGGCAGCAGUGGGGAAUAUUGCGCAAUGGGCGAAAGCCUGACGCAGCCAUGCCGCGUGUGUGAAGAAGGCCCUUGGGUUGUAAAGCACUUUCAAUUGGAAGAAAGGUUAGCGUGUUAAUAGCACGUAGCUGUGACGUUACCUUUAGAAGAAGCACCGGCUAACUACCGUGCCAGCACG